RNAcentral lists this ribosomal RNA (273 nucleotides) under uncultured bacterium. RNAcentral describes it as "partial 16S ribosomal RNA". It matches the Rfam family "Bacterial small subunit ribosomal RNA", at positions 524 to 796 of the family's 1533-position model. The record is from RNAcentral.
GACGUAGGAGGCGAGCGUUAUCCGGAUUCACUGGGCGUAAAGCGCAUGUAGGCGGUUGUGUAAGUCCGCUGUUAAAGCCCCUGGCUCAACUGGGGGAGGUCAGUGGAGACUACUCGACUUGAGGGCAACAGAGGCACGUGGAACUCCCGGUGUAGCGGUGGAAUGCGUAGAGAUCGGGAAGAACACCAGUGGCGAAGGCGACGUGCUGGGUUGCGACUGACGCUGAGAUGCGAAAGUGUGGGGAGCAAACGGGAUUAGAAACCCCCGUAGUCC